RNA transcript from Phycodurus eques (leafy seadragon), 1161 nucleotides. It is a transcript of the gene named adaptor related protein complex 1 subunit sigma 3b, with no coding region annotated. The transcript is spliced from 6 exons. The record is from RefSeq and is a predicted model, not a curated record. NCBI's taxonomy places the organism in Eukaryota, Metazoa, Chordata, Actinopteri, Syngnathiformes, Syngnathidae.
UAGCAACUUUCACUGUGGAUGUCGACGGUGGACGACAGGACGGCUAAAACAAGGUUAUGUGUUUCAAAAGGAUAUCAUGACCCCGUGCGAGGGUUAAAGGUAGAUAUUUUCAUCCGUGGACGCCUCGACUAACCGACCGACAACAUGAUGCGUUUCCUGCUCCUCUUCAGUCGCCAGGGCAAGUUGCGCUUGCAGAAAUGGUACACGCCCAUGUCUGAGCGGGAGAAGAAGAAGAUCAUCAGGGACAUGACCUCAGCCGUGUUGGCACGGCAACCGCGUACCUGUAACUUCCUGCACUGGAAAGACCUGAAGAUUAUUUACAAAAGAUAUGCAAGCUUGUAUUUUUGCUUGGCUAUAGAGAGCCAGGAGAAUGAGCUGCUUGCUUUGGAGGUGAUUCAUCGUUACGUGGAGCUGCUGGACAGAUACUUUGGCAAUGUGUGCGAGCUUGACAUAAUCUUUAACUUUGAGAAGGCCUACUUCAUCUUGGACGAGUUCCUAAUGGGAGGGGAAAUCCAGGAAACCUCCAAGCAGAUUGUGAACCACUCCAUCGAAGCGUCAGACAUGUUGCAGGAGGAUGGCAGCAAUGAUUGGUAUGAGGUGGAGCUGUUUGGACCUUGAAUAUGGACAGACAGGUUAGACGUUCUGCUUGUGUUAGUGACUGUGUGUCGGUGUUCUCAGCACCUUAAUUCCAGACAAUGGAGGAAUAUAUGAGCAAACCAGCAUUUUGACACAGGAAAAGGGACAAAGUAAGCUCAAGGCCUAAAAUUACAAAGAUGAUGACUACACGGAAACAGGAUUCAUUUUGAUUCUGCCAAACAUUCUCAAAAGAAGAGAGAAGGCUUCAUUUACAAGUAAAUAUAACAUAUCUUGGUUUUGCACUUGUUUGAAAGUGAAAGGAGUAAAAAUAUUUAACUGGUUUGCUCAAUGUUAAUAUAUAGGAAUUUAACCUUGUUAUAAUUUAUGAUUUGUCUAUUUAAACAAAUAAUGGCAAAGAGCAAAAAAAACAUUCCUGAAUGAAAUGUUUAUUCACUUUUUAAUCUGUCUAUUAUCAGAAUGAUUGUGCCACCUUUAUUCUGAGAGCUGGUGUGGGUGUGAAAAUUACAUGUUUUUUAUAACAAGCAGUUUGAAGUUUCUAAUUAAAUGUGUAUUUUGAUAAUUCAU